CCUACGGGAGGCAGCAGUGAGGAAUAUUGGUCAAUGGACGAGAGUCUGAACCAGCCAAGUAGCGUGAAGGAUGACUGCCCUAUGGGUUGUAAACUUCUUUUAUAAAGGAAUAAAACGAGGCACGUGUGCCUUUUUGCAUGUACUUUAUGAAUAAGGAUCGGCUAACUCCGUGCCAGCAGCCGCGGUAAUACGGAGGAUCCGAGCGUUAUCCGGAUUUCUUGGGUUUAAAGGGAGCGUAGAUGGGUUGUUAAGUCAGUUGUGAAAGUUUGCGGCUCAACCGUAAAAUUGCAAUUGAUACUGGCAGUCUUGAGUACAGUUGAGGUAGGCGGAAUUCGUGGUGUAGCGGUGAAAUGCUUAGAUAUCACGAAGAACCCCGAUUGCGAAGGCAGCUUACUAAACUGUGACUGACAUUGAUGCUCGAAAGUGUGGGUAUCAAACAGGAUUAGAUGCCCCAGUAGUC
This 460-nucleotide ribosomal RNA is filed under the name uncultured bacterium. RNAcentral describes it as "partial 16S ribosomal RNA". It matches the Rfam family "Bacterial small subunit ribosomal RNA", at positions 338 to 795 of the family's 1533-position model. The record is from RNAcentral.